RNA transcript from Cimex lectularius (bed bug), 2567 nucleotides. It is a transcript of the gene named poly(ADP-ribose) glycohydrolase, with no coding region annotated. The transcript is spliced from 14 exons. The record is from RefSeq and is a predicted model, not a curated record. NCBI's taxonomy places the organism in Eukaryota, Metazoa, Arthropoda, Insecta, Hemiptera, Cimicidae.
CGUGUGAUAAACUAAAUUUGGAACAUUGUCGAAAAUCAGAAAAUGAAAAAAAAAUCUUGCGUGAAAUAAGAAAUCGUGACUGAUAAACAGUUAAUUCCCCCCCGAGUCGGGUUUGUGUACAGCCCAGUCAGCAGUCUGAACGACUGCACCCCAGUUUCAUGUAGCCUCUUCUGUGAGGUUUCUCUGGUGUUUAAAUGCAUCUCCAUUCAACAAUUUUCUGUUUUUCUAUACCAACAGCCACAAUCUCCCCUUAUUUUUAUUUGUCUUAAUUUUAACAACUUUUAAAUAAAUUAAUCUCUUAGCUAUGUGAUUUUGUACGUGAUAUGACUUCAAAGUCAGUCCCACGGCGAAAUGUCGUUGAAUUCGUCUCAAGAUAUGUUCGAGGAAAGCAGCGAGCACCUAAGUCCUCAGGAAGAUCCUGUUUGGCUCGGUGUUUCUCUGGAAGAUCUCAAGUCCUCAAGAAUUCACACUUAUCCGUCCAUCAGACCUUCGUAUAACCACACUGUGUUAUUCAAAUUACCUCUUCGAGAAGGACCUCCGGAGCCUCAUCCAACCAAAAAAUCAGACUUAUGGGACCUGAAUCAUGUCCGUAUGCCACAUUCGCCUCAGAGUUUAUACCCCGUCUCAGAGACCGAGCUCAAAUCAAGAUGGGGUGUUGUCAAAAGUGCACUUACGACGCAAAUUUCAACAAGUAAAGAACUUGAGGAUGCUAUAUUUUCAUACAAUUCCAAAAUUAGCCAGCAGUGUAAUUUUGAUGCCUUACAUACAUUUUUCUCAGAGACACUUGAGCCUGAAGAAUCGAAGUAUUUUUUUAAAUCUGUUUUGCCCGGAAUUAUCAAUAUGGCUUUAGAAAUUGAAGAUAAGUUUCGAGGUGGAAUACCUUUCCUUUUUAAAGGCGCAAACCGUAGUAUUAGUAUGUCCCAGGAACAGGUGUGUAUCCUGUUGGCAAAUGCCUUCCUUUGCACUUUUCCAAGGAGGAAUUCUUGUAAAAAUUUUCCAACGAUAAAUUUUAAUAGGCUUUUUCAAUGUGAUUCAUUAAGCAGUGUUCAACAGAAGCUCAAGUGUUUUAUCAAUUACUUCAGAAGAAUAAUAAAAAAAAAGCCAAAAGGCAUUAUUACAUUUACUAGAAGGCAUGUUAAACCUGAAGAACUUCCUGUUUGGUCAGAAAGAGAAGAGAAAUUUUGCAAACUUCAUAUCACAAGUGUUGGAACAAUCGAAGACCAAGGGGCAGGACUCAUGGAAGUUGAUUUCGCUAACAAAUUUGUCGGAGGCGGAGUGCUCGGAAGAGGGUCGGUUCAGGAAGAAAUUAAAUUUCUAAUUUGUCCAGAACUUGUCGUAUCAAGACUUUUCACUGAAUGCCUUGGCGAUACGGAAGCAUUUAUUGUUACUGGUUGCGAGAGGUUUAAUAAAUACGUAGGAUAUGCUGAUACUUUCACCUGGUCUGGAAAUUUUCUAGAAACAGAGUUGAAACGUGAUAGUUAUAAUAGGCUGAAUUCUGUCGUUGUCGCUAUUGAUGCGAGCGACUAUAGUCGAAAUUCCGAAGAUCAGUUUUCACAAGAGUCGAUAAACAGAGAACUCAAUAAAGCAUAUUCUGGAUUUUCAUUUGGCCCAGAAGGAAAUAUCGCUACGGGAAAUUGGGGAUGUGGGGUUUUCAACGGUGAUUCGAGAUUGAAAGCUCUACUUCAAAUAAUGGCUGCUUCUGUUUGUAAAAAAGGACUAGCUUAUUUCACUUUUGGAGAUGUCAAACUUAGAGAUGACAUUUUUAGUAUGUAUACAUUUUUAAAUAAGAAGGAUGUCAAUGUAGGCAUGCUGUGGCAAAUAAUAUCUGGAUAUUCGACAACUAGAUCAAACAGAACUGGGGCUUUAUUGUAUAAAUAUAUCUAUGAUAUGUUAGAAACCAAUUUAGAAAAAAUUGCAAUUGUUGCGAAGAAAGAGGAAGAAACUGAUCAGAGUGAAGAAGAUUUCGUUGAUAUAGUCCGUGCAAUGGAAGAAGUGGAAAGUAACCGAAAUGUGAAAACAGUAAAUCACAAGGGAAAAACGGUCAACUCCCAAAAUGGUGAAUGUUCAAGCAGAACGUCUUUGCCCCAACCAAAAUGUGCGGAGACCUAUUCUCUCAAGACCGAAGAGGGGAGGAAAAGGUGCUUAGAAACAGAACAUGAAAGAUGGGAAGCUUAUGAGAAAGCUUUGAACAAAUUUUCCAUUAUUGAUUCCAGAAGUGCGGAGAAACAGAAAAAUACACCUAAAAGAAAAAUCACCGACUAUUUCACGCAAAAUGAUUAGAGCAUCCGUCCUGAUCAUAGGAUCACCCAGUUAACCCAUUCAACGGGGUACCAAAAUCCAAGACCAUCGCCCAGUGUUUUGGAUCAUGACUCUACUCUGGUCAAAAAUAUGCAGGGAAAGUCUGAUUAUGCAAACCCGCAAAUCAACGCACUUUGUCCACUCCCCUUGGCUGGGCUCAACUAUUGACGAAUGAACAAUUUAGAAUUUUCGUAUUCCCAACUAUUUCAUAAACCUAUUUUGACUACUUUUUCUUACCAAAGUGUAAAUGAGGGAAAAUAUUUUUAUGC